Molecule: ribosomal RNA, 2896 nt
Filed under: Clostridioides difficile
Lineage: Bacteria; Bacillati; Bacillota; Clostridia; Peptostreptococcales; Peptostreptococcaceae
Description: bacterial LSU rRNA
Rfam family: Bacterial large subunit ribosomal RNA
Source: RNAcentral
UCAAGUUAUUAAGGGUGCAGGGCGGAUGCCUUGGCACUAGGAGCCGAUGAAGGACGUGAUAAGCUGCGAUAAGCUUCGGGGAGUUGCACGUAAACUUUGAUCCGAAGAUUUCCGAAUGAGGAAACUCACUUAGAGUAAUGUCUAAGUAUCAUUAAGUAAAUACAUAGCUUAAUGAGGGGAACUCAGGGAACUGAAACAUCUAAGUACCUGAAGGAAGAGAAAGAAAUUCGAUUCCGUAAGUAGCGGCGAGCGAACGCGGAUUAGCCCAAACCAAUAAAGUUUUCUUUAUUGGGGUUGCGGACAUAUCAUAACGAAGAGGUAUCGUAAUUGAAGAGGUUUGGAAAGACCCACCACAGAAGGUAAUAGUCCUGUAUUUUAAACGAGAAGACUUCAGAUAUGAUCCAGAGUACCACGGGACACGUGAAACCCUGUGGGAAGCAGGAGGGACCACCCUCCAAGGCUAAAUACUACCUAGUGACCGAUAGCGUAUAGUACCGUGAGGGAAAGGUGAAAAGAACCCCGGGAGGGGAGUGAAAUAGAACCUGAAACCCUGCACUUACAAGCUGUGGAAGCACAUUUCUUGUGUGACCGCGUACUUUUUGUAGAACGGGCCAACGAGUUACGUUAAGUAGCAAGGUUAAGCACUUAAGGUGCGGAGCCGUAGCGAAAGCGAGUUUUAACUGAGCGUUCAGUUACUUGACGUAGACCCGAAACCGGGCGACCUACCCAUGAGCAGGAUGAAGCGAAAGUAAAAUUUCGUGGAGGUCCGAACCCACGAGCGUUGAAAAGCUCGGGGAUGACUUGUGGAUAGCGGUGAAAUUCCAAUCGAGCCCGGAGAUAGCUGGUUCUCCCCGAAAUAGCUUUAGGGCUAGCCUCAAGGUGAGAGAUACGGAGGUAGAGCACUGAAUGUCCUAGGGGGUAUUGCACCUACCGAAGACUAUCAAACUCCGAAUGCCGUCAUCUUAUACUUGGGAGUCAGACUGUGGGUGAUAAGAUUCAUAGUCGAAAGGGCAACAGCCCAGAUCGUCAGCUAAGGUCCCUAAAUGUAAGUUAAGUGGUAAAGGAUGUGGGAUUGCACAGACAACCAGGAUGUUGGCUUAGAAGCAGCCACUCAUUCAAAGAGUGCGUAAUAGCUCACUGGUCGAGUGAUCCUGCGCCGAAGAUUUCCGGGGCUAAAACUUACUACCGAAGCUACGGCAUCAGUAAUGAUGGGUAGGGGAGCUUCCCAUACGGGUUGAAGCGUGACCGUAAGGACAUGUGGACAGUAUGGGAGUGAGAAUGUUGGCAUGAGUAGCGAGAUGUGGGUGAGAAUCCCACAGGCCGUAAACCCAAGGUUUCCAGGGGAAGGUUCGUCCGCCCUGGGUUAGUCGGGACCUAAGCUGAGGCCGAAAGGCGUAGGUGAUGGACAACAGGUUGAUAUUCCUGUACUACCGAUAACCGUUUGAGAGAAGGGAUGACACAGUAGGAUAAGCUAAGCACACUGUUGGUUAUGUGUGCCCAAGCAUUGAGGCAGUCAAAGUAGGCAAAUCCGCUUUGAUAAUGCUGGGAUGUGAUGGGGAGCGAAAUUUAGUAGCGAAGUAGCUGAUUUCACACUGUCAAGAAAAGUCUCUAUCGAGGUUAAAGGUACCCGUACCGCAAACCGACACAGGUGGGUGAGGAGAGUAUCCUAAGGCCAGCGAGAGAACUGUUGUUAAGGAACUCGGCAAAAUGACCCCGUAACUUAGGGAUAAGGGGUGCCACCAUCAGGUGGCCGCAGAGAAUAGGCCCAAGCGACUGUUUACCAAAAACAUAGGUUUCUGCUAAGUCGCAAGACGAUGUAUAGGAGCUGACGCCUGCCCGGUGCUGGAAGGUUAAGGGGAUCUGUUAGAGCAAUCGAAGCAGUGAACUUAAGCCCCAGUAAACGGCGGCCGUAACUAUAACGGUCCUAAGGUAGCGAAAUUCCUUGUCGGGUAAGUUCCGACCCGCACGAAAGGCGUAACGAUUUGGGCACUGUCUCAACAACAGACUCGGUGAAAUUGUAAUUCCGGUGAAGAUGCCGGAUACCUGCGACAGGACGGAAAGACCCCAUGGAGCUUUACUGUAGCUUGACAUUGGGUCUUGGUACUACAUGUACAGGAUAGGUGGGAGGCUUUGAAACCAGGACGCCAGUUUUGGCGGAGCCAUCCUUGGGAUACCACCCUUGUAGUACUGGGACUCUAACCAUAGGCCAUGAAUCUGGUCUUGGGACACUGUCAGGUGGGCAGUUUGACUGGGGCGGUCGCCUCCCAAAAGGUAACGGAGGCGCUCAAAGGUUCUCUCAGUACGGUCGGAAAUCGUACGUAGAGUGUAAAGGCAAAAGAGAGCUUGAUUGCAAGACAUACAGGUCGAGCAAGGAUGAAAAUCGGACUUAGUGAUCCGGUGGUUCUGCGUGGAAGGGCCAUCGCUCAACGGAUAAAAGCUACCCUGGGGAUAACAGGCUUAUCUCCCCCAAGAGUCCACAUCGACGGGGAGGUUUGGCACCUCGAUGUCGGCUCAUCACAUCCUGGGGCUGUAGUAGGUCCCAAGGGUUGGGCUGUUCGCCCAUUAAAGUGGUACGCGAGCUGGGUUCAGAACGUCGUGAGACAGUUCGGUCCCUAUCCGUCGCAGGCGUAGGAAAUUUGAGAAGAUCUGUCCUUAGUACGAGAGGACCGGGAUGGACGUACCUCUGGUGUACCAGUUGUUCUGCCAAGGGCAUGGCUGGGUAGCUAUGUACGGAAUGGAUAAGCGCUGAAAGCAUCUAAGCGCGAAGCCAACUUCAAGAUAAGAUUUCCCACCGCAAGGGUAAGAUCCCAGAAAGACUAUCUGGUUGAUAGGUCGAAGGUGUAAGUGCAGCAAUGUAUUUAGCUUAUCGAUACUAAUAGGUCGAGGACUUGACCAA